UAGCUCACUGGUCGAGUGAUCCUGCGCCGAAGAUUUCCGGGGCUAAAACUUACUACCGAAGCUACGGCAUCAUUAUGAUGGGUAGGGGAGCUUCCCAUGCGGGUUGAAGCAUGACCGUAAGGACAUGGGGACAGUAUGGGAGUGAGAAUGUUGGCAUGAGUAGCGAGAUGUGGGUGAGAAUCCCACAGGCCGUAAACCCAAGGUUUCCAGGGGAAGGUUCGUCCGC
Molecule: ribosomal RNA, 226 nt
Filed under: Clostridioides difficile
Lineage: Bacteria; Bacillati; Bacillota; Clostridia; Peptostreptococcales; Peptostreptococcaceae
Description: partial 23S ribosomal RNA
Rfam family: Bacterial large subunit ribosomal RNA
Source: RNAcentral